UCCAUGGUGGCUCAGAUGGUAAAGAAUCUGCCUGCAAUGCAGAAGACCCAGGUUCGAUCCCUGGGUUGGGAA
RNAcentral lists this transfer RNA (72 nucleotides) under Bos taurus (domestic cattle). It matches the Rfam family "tRNA". From Rfam's summary of the family: Transfer RNA (tRNA) molecules are approximately 80 nucleotides in length. Their secondary structure includes four short double-helical elements and three loops (D, anti-codon, and T loops). Further hydrogen bonds mediate the characteristic L-shaped molecular structure. tRNAs have two regions of fundamental functional importance: the anti-codon, which is responsible for specific mRNA codon recognition, and the 3' end, to which the tRNAs corresponding amino acid is attached (by aminoacyl-tRNA synthetases). tRNAs cope with the degeneracy of the genetic code in two manners: having more than one tRNA (with a specific anti-codon) for a particular amino acid; and 'wobble' base-pairing, i.e. permitting non-standard base-pairing at the 3rd anti-codon position. RNAcentral also lists the same sequence under 3 other names. The record is from Rfam by way of RNAcentral. Lineage: Eukaryota; Metazoa; Chordata; Mammalia; Artiodactyla; Bovidae.